This is a long non-coding RNA of Polypterus senegalus (gray bichir), 338 nucleotides long. RefSeq lists it as uncharacterized. The record is from RefSeq and is a predicted model, not a curated record. The transcript is spliced from 3 exons. NCBI's taxonomy places the organism in Eukaryota, Metazoa, Chordata, Cladistia, Polypteriformes, Polypteridae.
CUGCCUAUCACUGUCAAUGUUCUGCACUUAGUCCUGUGAAGGCUGAGAAAACAAGCAGCCCCUGGCAGCUAAGGACUGACUGAGCCUUCUACUUGAUGGGACUUCUGGCUACAGUUUAUAAAAUAAACUUACAUAGCAAGCAUCUGCCUACCAUGCUGGAAAUCUUUGCUACCACUGAUCAAACUAUGGAAGUUCUUCUGGUCUUUGGUAUGCUUGACAUACAUUGGAGGAGAAUGAUAAAGCAAAACGUGAAGAUGCUAUAAGGAAUGACAUCUGACACAAAAUGGAUUAAAUACUAAACACUUCAAAUACCAUAUUGAUGUACUUGUGUGUUUGGA